Molecule: ribosomal RNA, 483 nt
Filed under: uncultured bacterium
Lineage: Bacteria
Description: partial 16S ribosomal RNA
Rfam family: Bacterial small subunit ribosomal RNA
Source: RNAcentral
UUUAACGCUGGCGGCAGGCCUCACACAUGCAAGUCGAGCGGAUGAAGGGAGCUUGCUCCUGGAUUCAGCGGCGGACGGGUGAGUAAUGCCUAGGAAUCUGCCUGGUAGUGGGGGAUAACGUCCGGAAACGGGCGCUAAUACCGCAUACGUCCUGAGGGAGAAAGUGGGGGAUCUUCGGACCUCACGCUAUCAGAUGAGCCUAGGUCGGAUUAGCUAGUUGGUGGGGUAAAGGCCUACCAAGGCGACGAUCCGUAACUGGUCUGAGAGGAUGAUCAGUCACACUGGAACUGAGACACGGUCCAGACUCCUACGGGAGGCAGCAGUGGGGAAUAUUGGACAAUGGGCGAAAGCCUGAUCCAGCCAUGCCGCGUGUGUGAAGAAGGUCUUCGGAUUGUAAAGCACUUUAAGUUGGGAGGAAGGGCAGUAAGUUAAUACCUUGCUGUUUUGACGUUACCAACAGAAUAAGCACCGGCUAACUUCGUG